Molecule: ribosomal RNA, 403 nt
Filed under: uncultured prokaryote
Description: bacterial SSU rRNA
Rfam family: Bacterial small subunit ribosomal RNA
Source: RNAcentral
UAGGGAAUUUUGCGCAAUGGGCGAAAGCCUGACGCAGCAACACCGCGUGAGUGAUGACGCCCCUUGGGGUGUAAAACUCUGUCAGUGGGGACGAAGCCUGACGGUACCCACAGAGGAAGCAUCGGCUAACUACGUGCCAGCAGCCGCGGUAAGACGUAGGAUGCAAGCGUUGUCCGGAAUUAUUGGGCGUAAAGAGUUCGUAGGCGGCAUGUCAAGUCUGGUGUUAAAGCCCGAGGCUCAACCUCGGAUCAGCAUUGGAUACUGGCAAGCUAGAAUGCAGUAGAGGCAAGGGGAAUUCCCAGUGUAGCGGUGAAAUGCGUAGAUAUUGGGAGGAACACCAGUGGCGUAAGCGCCUUGCUGGGCUGUUAUUGACGCUGAGGAACGAAAGCCAGGGGAGCAAAUG